Molecule: long non-coding RNA, 3441 nt
Organism: Acinonyx jubatus (cheetah)
Lineage: Eukaryota; Metazoa; Chordata; Mammalia; Carnivora; Felidae
Exons: 3
Source: RefSeq, a predicted model, not a curated record
UCUGUUUUGUUUCUUAAAUACCACAUAUGAGUGAAAUCAUAUGGUGUCUGUCUUUCUCUGACUUAUUUUGCUUAGUAUAAUACACUCUAGUUACAUCUACCACUGACCUCUUUCUUCCUUGCCUGGUUUCGGGGUUGAUCUGUGAUGGGGCCUUGUAGCUCUUUGACUUUCCUGGGCCAUAAGCUAGUUCGGAAAAUGUCAAAUUAGUGUGACCGGAAACAUUUUUACCCUCUCUCUCUCAUUGGAAAAUUGCCUUUCCUAUGACGUGAGAAGUCUGGUAACAGAAUGUGUGGAUCCCAGUUGAAGUUAAAUAGUGGAUCAGUCAGGGCAUCUGGUGAAGUUUAAGGACGGAGUUGAUUCAAAAACUAAGCCCCAUGAGGAAUGAAUAGGACUUGGGAGAAACCUUCAGAGCAGGAAAGGGAGGGGCAGGGGACCUUCCUUUCCCCAGGCCACGCCUUCACGAAUCCCACGGCCACCGGACACAUCAGAUGCUGUGGCAUGGCCCGAGCAGGACUUGGGGAAGCUGGCUCCAGCUGGCUUUAUCACCUGUGGAAUUUAAUUAUUUAUUCACCUGACGUGAACCUAUGCACUCAUCGAUCUUUUAAAAAUAGUUUAUUUUAAUUUGCUUGUAUUGCUUGCUGUAUACAAAGCACCUUUUUCUUCUGCGUCAGUUUUGCCAUCUGUAAAAUAGGUGAGUGGUUCAACUGCGUGGUAACCCCAAGUCACAACUUCAGCUAUGGCCACAUGGACAAAGUAAAGCCAGACAGAGGGGGCCCGGCCGAUGAGAGUUCUGAUUCCUGUCCUCACGGGGGAGUUCUCGGUGUAGACAGGCAGUCACCGUUGGUUCAGGGUCAGGCUCCCAUGCACUUUUUUCUUUUCAACCGGAAGGUGAUUUUACAAGGACAGAGGCGUGAGGACAAGAGGCAGCCUCGGAUUCGGAUUCGUUGUGCUGGGUAUGCAAAUCGGUAGUGCUGUCGCGGCCCCUCGGCUAGGCUCUCCUUCUGGGUGUAUUUCUUAGCCUUCCGGGGAGCCCAGAAAAUGGUCGCGAAAAUGUACGACAUGAGUCUGGCAAAGCACAGGAAUUCUGUAACACAAAAACAUUUCUUUUAAUAUUUUAGUUGGGCAGGCACACAGCUGUUGGAGGCUCUGAUGCUGAAUUCCAGAAGGAAGGCGAGGGACUGACAGCCUACAGCACAUUUUUGACGUGGAAUUUCCCCUUGUUCGCAGAUGAGAGUUGCUUUGGCUCAGGACGAGGUCGUGCCUCGGAGGGUCCCCACGGAGCAGCGUGGUCCUCCCAGGACCUCACCUCCUGGGCCGUUCCUGAUGGCGCCUUCACUGUGAGGGACGCCCAAGGCUGCUUUUUUGGAUCGUGUUCAGAGCCUGGGCCACAUUUGGGGGCACGACUUCUUCGGCCAGGGCCCCUGUCUCUUCAUUACCCUGCAGCAUUCACCCAGCCCGCACACAGCGCCCGGUGAACCUUCCUAAUGCCAAGCCGCGGGGUGGCCCCUGACCACACGCCUGCCUCCGUCCCUUCCCCCUGCACCCACCUUGCCGGAACCUUCCCACUGGCAGCUGAGGGUGCCUCUGUCCCACAUCUUUCUCUUUCCCGAAGUGGGACCUUCUCCGGCCCCAGCCUUGAGGCCGAGACAGCUGUUAGGGGACAGGAUUUGAGGAGAGAAAGAAAUGAGAACACCUCUCCCCUACCCAGCGUGAGAACUGAGCCUGCACCCUUAGACUGAGAGCUCCCCAAGGUCGAGCCCUUGGCUCCUGACGUCAGGGUCUGAUCUGUGGUGGGCAUGUGGUGAGGAAGUAGGAAGGUAUCAUCGAACCACCCCCCCUAGCUGAGCCCUGGCCAGGAGAUGACGGACAUUGGUGAGCAUAUCGGAGCAGAAGAAACAAGGACAGUUGUAAGACUGACCAUGGCCCUCAGCGUGACCUGAAACAGAAUCCACCUGGCUAGGCUCAUUGUUGCCCUCUGAACGGCUUUGAGUGACUGCGUGGGUAGAGUGGGGGAGGGCACAAGUAAGGCCACAGAAUCACUGUCCGUUGAGCAUCUGACACCAUAUGCUCUACACGUAUCACCUCCCUCGUUUCUCCCAGUAGCCGUGUGAAGUGAACGUCAUCGCAUCCCAUUUGACAGGUCUCACGCGGGGCUUGAGACCCUGCACUUCUGACAUCUGCCGGGGAAGCCGAGGCUCGGGUCUGGAACCGGACUUCGAGAUGGGGAGGUGCCCGGCUACCAGCAGAGCCGGAGCACGAAGCUGUCGUCACCACCUUGUGGUUAUUCAGGUACAGGGAGGGCAGGACCUGUCUGAAGGGGUGUGUGCCCCGAGGGCGAUGGGCGCCGAGUGAUGGGCUCGGAUGCGGGGGGAGGGGGAACAUGUCCUUACUUAUGGGCAGUUGGAAUCCCCUUCCAUUCCUGAUCCUUCUCUCCGUGGGCCCCACACCCCCAGGAGAGCUCUUCCCGGCCGGUGCAAGCUGACCGGCCGGGACAGUCGCCCUAUUUCAGCUGAGCUGUAAUAUCCACGCGGUAAGGCUCACCCAUUUCAAGCGGACGAUUCAGUGGGUUUGAGUAAAUUCACAAGGCUGGGCAACCAUCACCACCGCUGACUAGAACACUUUCGUCACCCCGUGCCCGGAAGCACUCAGUCUUCACCCUCCCAACCCUCCAACUACCACCCAUCCUCGUGGAUGAACAAAAGGUGACAUGUGCCUCCAGUGGGAUAUUAUCCGGCCUUCAAAAGGAGGGAGUUUCUGCCACGUAGUGCGAUGUGGAUGAAUUUUGAGGACAUUAUGCCGAGUGAAACAAGCCGGUCACAAAAAGACAAAUACUGGGGCCACCUGGGUGGGCUCAGUCGUUAAUUGUCUGACUCUUGAGGUCGGCUCAGGGCGUGGUCUCACGGUUCGUGAGUUCGAGCCCCGCGUCGGGCUCCAUGUUGCCAUCAAGGAGCCCUGCUUGGGAUUCUCUCUCUCCUUGAAUUAUACACUUAAUUGAAUUAUACACUUACAUAUGGUUAAGAUGGUAAAUGUGAUGUUAUGUGUAUUUUGCCACAAUAAAAAAUUUUUUUUUUAACUAAAUGGAGGAGAUGCUGGCAGAGGGUCCAUCAGUCAAGGAGGGAAAAGACAUGAUAACAUUGAACUUGCUGGAAUUUUCAGUGUUACGUAUUUUGGCCAAAUUACAGACAACGGACGUUUCAGGGGAGGUGGACAAGGAAGCAUGGUGAAAUCUUGUUUUCUGGAUCAUUCCUGUUACAAAAAUAAACACGGGACUGCGGCGCCUGGGUGGCUCAGUCGGUUGCGAAUCCGACUUUGGCUCAGGUCAUGAUCUUGUGGUUUGUUACGUUCAAGCCCCACGUCGGGUUCUCUGUUGUCAGUGCAGAACCCGCUUCAGAUCCUCUGCCCUCCUCUCUCUCUGCCCCUCCCCUGCUCUCUCGUGCAUGC